GCUCCACCUGCCAGUACCAGCUGGGCUGCUCGCACACGUGAUAGAGUCCCAUGGAACCAUGGGUAACCAAUGAGAGUGGCAGCCACGUCCGUCUCCACAGGAGGUUCACCAGGACCUGAAUACGUGAAGAAAGAGUGUAAAAUUGAGAUUACCCACCUUCAGAGAGGAGCUCACAGCUGCAGGAGGCCACCAUGGAGAAUUCUUUGGACGGUUGGCCGUGUGGACAUGACGCAAGCUCGAUGUCAUCGCCGCUGUCCCUGAAAUACACACCACACCUAAGCACCAGUCACGUGCUUUAAGAUUGCAGAUCGAGGGGGAGCCUGGAGCCUAUCCCACGGAACUCAGGGCACACAAGGCAGGAGACACCCCGGCACAAUCGCACACUUCGGAAAUGCCAAUCAGCCUACAACACAUGUCUAUGGACUGGAGGAGGAAACCGGAGUACCCGGACCAAACCCCCGAAGAACACACACAGGGCGGAGGCAGGAUUCGAACCCUAAUCCCCAGAGGUGCAAGGCAAAUAUUUAUCCCUGCAGUUUACCCAGGAUCUAUGCAGUCCUGGAUGUCAGCAACCCAGGAGUUCUUCUGAAGAGAGUCGAUGGUCUCCAAGAUAUACUCGCCACCAUUUUCCACCUGUGGCAGAGCACAAAGGCAUGGUGUUUGUAGGACUAGCUCACUUCCCAGCACUAUUUACCACCAGUGAAACCACACAGACGAAUAGUUUCCAUGUUAGCGCUAUAAAGUAAAGCUCUAUAGUCAAUGAGUUAAUGUUUUCAUGUUAUUAAUAUCAACUAGUGUAUAUGACAAGUUUGUAGACAAGCAAAACAAGCUGAAAUAAAGGAAUUUCGAUGCGUAAAACAUAA
Molecule: long non-coding RNA, 863 nt
Organism: Ictalurus punctatus (channel catfish)
Lineage: Eukaryota; Metazoa; Chordata; Actinopteri; Siluriformes; Ictaluridae
Exons: 4
Source: RefSeq, a predicted model, not a curated record